Molecule: ribosomal RNA, 468 nt
Filed under: uncultured bacterium
Lineage: Bacteria
Description: partial 16S ribosomal RNA
Rfam family: Bacterial small subunit ribosomal RNA
Source: RNAcentral
GACGAACGCUGGCGGCGUGCUUAACACAUGCAAGUCGAACGGAAAGGCCCUGCUUUUGUGGGGUGCUCGAGUGGCGAACGGGUGAGUAACACGUGAGUAACCUGCCCUUGACUUUGGGAUAACUUCAGGAAACUGGGGCUAAUACCGGAUAGGAGCUCCUGCUGCAUGGUGGGGGUUGGAAAGUUUCGGCGGUUGGGGAUGGACUCGCGGCUUAUCAGCUUGUUGGUGGGGUAGUGGCUUACCAAGGCUUUGACGGGUAGCCGGCCUGAGAGGGUGACCGGCCACAUUGGGACUGAGAUAGGGCCCAGACUCCUACGGGAGGCAGCAGGGGGGAAUAUUGCACAAUGGGCGGAAGCCUGAUGCAGCAACGCCGCGUGCGGGAUGACGGCCUUCGGGUUGUAAACCGCUUUCGCCUGUGACGAAGCGUGAGUGACGGUAAUGGGUAAAGAAGCACCGGCUAACUACGUG